RNAcentral lists this unclassified non-coding RNA (264 nucleotides) under uncultured fungus. RNAcentral describes it as "sequence contains ITS1, 5.8S rRNA gene". The stretch from base 216 to 264 matches the Rfam family "5.8S ribosomal RNA", at positions 1 to 49 of the family's 154-position model. Lineage: Eukaryota; Fungi. The record is from RNAcentral.
UUUUCGUAGGUGAACCUGCGGAAGGAUCAUUAAUGAAUUGAAGAGCGCGCCUAGCACCGUGCAAACGGAUGGCCGCUUCAUCAUCUCAUUUUCACACACUGUGCUCAUAGAGGAUUUAAAGACAUCUUAAUACCAUGUUUUUAAAACACUUUAUACACUUGAACGUUGAACAGUCUCGUGAUGUUGUAAUAACAUUUAAUUGUAAAUGAAAGAAAAACUUUCAGCAACGGAUCUCUUGGCUCUCGCAUCGAUGAAGAACGCAGC